ACGUAGGGGGCUAGCGUUAUCCGGAUUUACUGGGCGUAAAGGGUGCGUAGGUGGUUUCUUAAGUCAGGAGUGAAAGGCUACGGCUCAACCGUAGUAAGCUCUUGAAACUGGGAAACUUGAGUGCAGGAGAGGAAAGUGGAAUUCCUAGUGUAGCGGUGAAAUGCGUAGAUAUUAGGAGGAACACCAGUAGCGAAGGCGGCUUUCUGGACUGUAACUGACACUGAGGCACGAAAGCGUGGGGAGCAAACAGGAUUAGAUACCCUGGUAGUCCACGCCGUAAACGAUGAGUACUAGGUGUCGGGGGUUACCCCCCUCGGUGCCGCAGCUAACGCAUUAAGUACUCCGCCUGGGGAGUACGCUCGCAAGAGUG
RNAcentral lists this ribosomal RNA (370 nucleotides) under uncultured bacterium. Its description in RNAcentral is "bacterial SSU rRNA". It matches the Rfam family "Bacterial small subunit ribosomal RNA", at positions 525 to 896 of the family's 1533-position model. The record is from RNAcentral.